RNAcentral lists this ribosomal RNA (329 nucleotides) under Lema trilinea (threelined potato beetle). RNAcentral's name for it is "partial 12S rRNA". Lineage: Eukaryota; Metazoa; Arthropoda; Insecta; Coleoptera; Chrysomelidae. The record is from RNAcentral.
AUUAGUAUUAGUUAUGAUCUUGAAAAUUAAAAGAUUUGGCGGUAUUUUAGUCUUUUCAGAGGAACUUGCUCUGUAAUUGAUAAUCCACGAUUUAAUUAAUCUUAUUUUUUAGCUUAUAUAUCGUUGUUUAAAAAAUUUUUAAAAAAUAUUAAUUUUUAAGAUUUUUAUUAAAAAAUAAAUCAGAUCAAGAUGUAGUUUAUAUUAAGAUAGAAGUGAGUUACAUUGAUUUUAUAAUAAUGAUUUAUAUUAGAAUAAUAUAAUGAUUUUGGAUUUGAAUGUAAAUUUAAUUAAUUAAUUAAAUUGAUUUAGCUCUAAAUUAUGUACACAUC